RNAcentral lists this ribosomal RNA (448 nucleotides) under uncultured bacterium. Its description in RNAcentral is "bacterial SSU rRNA". It matches the Rfam family "Bacterial small subunit ribosomal RNA", at positions 354 to 796 of the family's 1533-position model. The record is from RNAcentral.
GUCUAGAGGCUUCGGCAAUGGGGGCAACCCUGACCGAGCGACGCCGCGUGUGGGAUUGAAGGCCUUCGGGUCGUAAACCACUGUCAAGAGGGAAGAAUGCGCUGAUGGUGAAUCAGCGAGAGACGGUACCUCUGGAGGAAGCCCCGGCUAACUCCGUGCCAGCAGCCGCGGUAAUACGGAGGGGGCAAGCGUUGUUCGGAUUUACUGGGCGUAAAGGGUGUGUAGGCGGCUGGGCAAGUCUGAUGUGAAAUCUUUACCGCUUAACGGAAAGAGGUCAUUGGAAACUGCCUAGCUCGAGUAUGGAAGAGGCAAGCGGAAUUCCUGGUGUAGCGGUGGAAUGUGUAGAUAUCAGGAAGAACACCGGUGGCGAAGGCGGCUUGCUGGGCCAUUACUGACGCUGAGACACGAAAGCGUGGGGAGCAAACGGGAUUAGAAACCCGGGUAGUCC